Molecule: non-coding RNA, 9131 nt
Organism: Paramuricea clavata
Lineage: Eukaryota; Metazoa; Cnidaria; Anthozoa; Malacalcyonacea; Plexauridae
Source: the annotation of a GenBank genome assembly
UUUUUUUAUAAAUCUCCGCGUGGCAAAUAUGGCGUAAAAAUUCUGCUGGUUUAUAUUGAUCAAUCAUACCUUUAUUUGAAGGUAAUAUGCUUUAUUUUAUAUCAGUAUUUGUGGUAGAAUACUUAGAUUGCUAAUGUAGAUGGAAUUUUUAGGACAUCGGGCUCGAAUUAAGUGCGAAAUGUUCGGCAUAAAGUUUGCACGUGCAGUCGUGCAUCGGUUUGGUCGAUUGUCGAAAUAUUAAAAAACCGUGAUCUGAUUUUAAUAGCACUGACCAAUUCAAUAAAAAGACUAAGGAAGCUAUAAAAUUAUUGAAAUAGUCGAGGAAAGUUAGUUGUUCUUGCUAGGAUCUUUAUAAGGAGGCAAAUAUUUUUAUAUUUUAUGAAUUUUAAGCCUGUUUAAGGUGGCUCUCUAGGGUUUUUUAAUUGACUACAGUUUUGUAUUCAGGAGACUCCUGUUACUUUACAUGACAUGAAGACGAAAUUUAUUGGACACAUUAGGGCCAUUUAUACGGGACAAAAUAAGUUGCGACUUACAUAAGUGGAGUUAUCGAACAAAUGGUUCUUUGCAGCAUUAGUCUCAUUUACUUGCUAUAGCUAUAAUGUUGUUUUGGUUGUUUUUGUUUUAAUAUGCAAGGCUAAUAAUUUUACGUUGUUUCAAGUUUCGGGCAUAUGCAGUAAACUUUUUAUCCAAAAUGUCUUAUUUAAGACACGACUUAAAUAAGAACAGCUAAAAAUCCUGUUCUUAUUUAAGUUGCGUCUUACAUAAGAAUUUUCGCGACUUGUUUUGUUUCGUAUAAAUGGCCCUAUUGACAAUGUUCUUUUGAACAUUACAAAUUGCUACAUUUGUGUUAAAAAUCUGUUAUCAUGGCAACAGCAUGCUUAGAAAUAAAGCUCAAAAUUUGUCUUUUUCAGGUUAUUUUAAAAAUUCGCUUCGGUGAAAUUUUUUAAAACUUUGCAUAAAAGAUAAUACUUGUAUAAUAAUUUUUUCCUUUCAAUUUAAAAUUUAAAUUAAAUCAAUAUGUUUCUUGGAAAAUUUUAAAAACGUCAAAAAUCAAUAUUGAAACCCUUCGAUUUAAUUUUAGGAAAAAAGGUUAUUGCACUUGUUGUGCCGAAACGUGUGCAAAGUUUUAAAAAAUUUCACCGAAGGAAAAGGGAUAAAUUUGGGUUAAAUUUUGGCAAUUUUACUAGAUUUUGACACGAACAAUUUAUGAAUACCCCAACUGAUGUGUACAUCCAUUUUGUAUAAAAAAAGUUAUGUUUGAUAUACUGUUUAUAACUGUGUCGGUUACCGGUCAACUAAGCGUGGAUUAUACAUGUAAAAUUGGCAAAGAUAUUUAGGUAAUUACUAGUUAUGACUCUUGGUAUUAAUUUGAAAAAUGUUUGUCAAAAUACGUCCUAGCUGUGCGAGUUUAUGGUAGUAUUGUCGGAUGUUCUCGCAAAAUGCCUGUUCAAAUUUCAGUUUUUAACUUUUUAUAGUGGCAUGUUUGGAGUUUUGGCCCUUCUCAUUUCACCUGUAGAGGGCUCAUUAUUUAAUUCAUCUUUAUUGUCAUAAAUGCUGCUAGAUUGUGGAGAAAACACUGCAAAUUCUUGAGGAGACUUUAUAUUAUAUCCCAAUGUUCGUGAUCGAACCUCGCGUACGGCACCAAGCGGUUCAAAAAACUUCCAGAAUACCGCUUGAAAAAAAGUUUACAUUAUCUUGAAACAUCACAUCCAAGUGUCUUGGCUUUUAGAACUCUUUUUAUGCUUUCAACUUAAGCAUAGUUCACACUUUUGUUUCAAAUAAAACACAACGUUUGUUUGUAUUUUGAAAUCACACGAGUUUCAGUUUACGUAUAUACGAUUCAUCGCACAAGCAAACUAAAUAUUUCUUCCAGAAUGGAGCGAAUUUGUUAAGUUAUUUACAAUCUUUCGGCAAAAAACCAACUCAUUUUCUUAGAAUACAUCAAUGGCUAAACAUUUUACCACUUACUUUGAGCUCAACAAUGGAAUAGAUGACCUUUUUGUGCUAGAAAUACAAAUGGCAAAGGUUCUGAAAGAUAAAACUCAGAGCAGAGUUAUAAAAUAAAUUUAAAAGUGGUGUUUUCAUUAUGAAAACUAUGUUAUCCCAUUUUUCAUUCGUAUUUAUUGGAAAUGAAUUAGAAAUGUAAUUGCUUUUUGCCGAAUGCGGAAACAUCGAAUUAGAUCGAAACAAUUUUGUUGUUUUUUAUCCAAACAUUAAAUAUCUUCAACAUCAGUCUACAAAUUGAGUUUUUCUUUUAUCUUUCAGGCAGUAAUAAAGCCACUUAAAAGUUGUAGUAGAUUAAUUUUGAAUAAAAUAGUUAUUAAACAAAAAUUGACAUUGAAAGAAAAGAUUUGUCAUGAUGUUAAAUUUUAUAAUUAAAGAUGCGGUACAGUCUGCAUGUAAACAAAGGCUUUGUUUACAUUUUGGUAUCCAAAAUAUUGAAUUUUAUUCGACAACUAUUUAUAUUUUCAUGAUUCUAGAGUUUAAUAAAUUAUCAAGAGACAACAAUCAAGCUUUGCAAGAACAUAAAAUGAAAUAAAAACCUAAAUAAACUGUUUGUAAAUGAAAGAGGGCUCCUUUGUGCACAUUUGCAGAUCGGACUGUACCGCAUCUUUAAGUGCUAAUAGUGUACAUUUUUCAUGUGUAGUCCAAAUUUCAUCUUAUACUAUUUAAUUAGUAAAUUUGAUCAUGUAUUUCUCUGAAAAUGACAAAGUUUGGGUUCCAGCCAUUUUUUUUAUUAGUUUCGACCGAAACCCUGAAAAAUGAGGGUUCUGGCUGGAACUAACCGGCCGGAACCGAAUUCCGGUGCAUAGGGCAGAGAGAAUAGGGUUGGCUGGAAAAGAUAUGCUGUUUCAGCUUCUGGUGCUCUGCACAUGUUCGUAUUGAGUUUUUCAUCUCGCUAGCCAAGCUGUUCACAUCCUCAGCAAAAUUCUCAUAAAUUUUUGUAGAUGUACAGUACAAGCUCCAAGAAUGUCACAAGUUCCUGUCUCAAGAUCUCAUGAUUACGACUAUUCCAAGAUCCUGAAUAAGAGGUAAAUGAUUUUUCUUCUAAUUAUUUUUAAAGUUUUCCUUGUAUUUCUUGGACAAUUAUCUUUGUAAUAUAUUAUUAAUUUGUUUCAUGUUCUCAAUAGUGAGUUUUUAAAUUUUUUAGAUGUGUGUUGCAAUUUCCAAGAAUGCCUCGAGUUGUUGGCUGAAGUGUUUUUGAUCACAAAAGUGAACAACGUCAUUGGAAAGUAUAUAAAAAGGUUUUAAUAUUUUUCUUAUCUUACAUGAAAUGCUUUGAACAUUAUGUGGUUGCUUGUGAUCAAUGGUUUCAAAAAUCCCAGCAGAAUAUUGCAAAAAUAGCAUGACCAUCUUACUUAUGACACAAAAUUCGACAAAAAUAACACAAUCUUUAUGAGGUGAGUGCACAAAAAUUGCACUCUUUUUAUUCUAUUAUUACACCACUAUUUUGACUUGUAUUAAUUUGGGAAAUUUCAGUUUUGUGGUCUGAUUACUUGGUUAAGUUUGGUGUUGCAACCAAUCACAGAAAGUCCAUAAUUUUCAAAGCAUAUAAGCAUUUUAUGAGCAAGCCAGAAAAUGAUAAACUGUCUGUGUUUUGAAAAAUUGUGUUUAAUUAACAAUGACGAUUUGGUUUCAAUAUACCUGUACAUUUUUUUUUGUUUGGCAUAAAUACAGAACAUAUAAAUUUGUGUUUGUCUGGGGCUAUUUCUCAGAACAUAGUUGUUUCUACAUAUUUCCAAAUUAUGUUUUUGUCAAAUAUAAAAAAAUGAAACGUUUGUCAUUCUUUGGCUUUGUCACAGCAGUUAAACAUUGAGAAGAUUGAGGUGUUUUCUUAUUAGAAACUAAAACAGUUACUUACAAAUAAGUCAUGUGACUUUUUUUAGUCAUCUUUCAUGUUUCAGUUAAUGUUUUCAGCAAAGGAUUAAAAGAACAUUGAUUAAUUGACAUUUGUUUCAUCAUACUUUGUGUUUUGAACUUAUUGACCUGCAUUGUGAAAACAGCAACUUAUGUCCCAUCUCAAUCUUCUCUUGUUUAAGUGGACUUUCAGUGUUUGUUGAAAGUUUGGAAAGUUUAUCUGAAAAUCACACUGUUUCUUUCAUUCUGGAUUUUAUUUGAGUCUUGAAAUAUUGAAUCUUAGAAAAAGCAAUUAGUGAUUAAUUGAAGUAUACAAUACUUCUAAAAUUAGCACUGUUAGAACUGCCUCGUUGUUUAACCGUCCUGUCUUAUUUAUCCCAGCACACUCUUAAUACAUGAGUUUGAUUAUUCCUGGAUACAAAUAAAAUGGAUUUGUUAAGGAACAAGGCAGUUCUUUACAGUACUGACUUAUAGGAGGGUUGUGUUCUUCAGUUGUUUUAUAUUCUUGUGCCGACCAGUUAUCAACAAAAAAUUCGAAUUUAGGAACAAACUUUGUGAUUUUUAAAAAGAAUUUCCCAACUUUAAAACAAACAGUUAAGGUCAAAAAAGUCUAGGAUAUUGCCUUUACUUCAUUACAAAGAGGAACUUAUUUGAAUGUGGAACUGAAGCAGCAAACUAUACUUAAUUUUGGGUAAUGUGAGAUAGAGAAAAUAAAAGGAAAUUGAUUGUCAUGCAUGGCAAGGAAAAUCACAACCAGACUACAGGACAAUGUUCUAGGUUUAGGUUUUAGGUUUAUUAAUAAAAAUGACAUUGCAACCAAGGGUUGAAUUACAUAAUUUACACCAACUAUCAAUUACUACUAUACUAUACAAAUUCUAAAAUUAGCAUUAAUUCUUUGCAUUUAAAACGAUUUGCACACAGAAGGUACAAAUUAAUAUGUUUUGUAUUAUUGGGAAGAAAAACAAUCCGAAUUCAAAAGUAUAUACCAAUAGGAAUAUUGAACCUGAAGAUAAGAUCAACAGUUCUUUGUGCUAAGGUGUUAAUUAAUCAAGGCACAAUUUGAUCAGAUUUGAACCAAAAUUCAAGCAUGAAAUUAACCACACACAAAUUUUGCUGAAACUAAAAAUAUGUGUCACAUAAGAUCGGGAAUGACUGAGAUGCUUUUUAUGUACCAAAUUUUAUAAUCUGAAUAAAAAGUUCUAGAUUUUAAAAUACUAUUUUUAUUUAAGUAGUCUGACCUGCAGCCCCUUUUUAAGUAUGAAAUUUGUUAUCGAAUCAGAUUCAAUUAAUUAAUUCGGAACUUUGGUUUGGUUACUAAAAUGACAAGAUUAUUUUUAGAAUUUUUAUUGGCUUGUUGUGGUUAAUAAUUGUUUUGCAAUUAAAAUUAAUUUGUUAGCUUUCUGUGUUUACAUGUUUUUUGUUUUGCUUCAGUUCAACAUUAUUUUCAAAUAGUUCCACUUUGUAAUGGUGUGUUAUUAAUAGUCAUAAUAAUAAUAUAAGAAAACAGGUUUACAUGGCACUCGAACAUGGUCUUUUCAACGAGUAUGUAAAGGUAAGUUUAUACUUCAAAAAGGUCUGUUUUUAACCUGACAACAAUGUCGUCCAAAAUGAACUAAAACUCAAUCUUUGUGACCUUUCAAUUAAUUUCAUGUCUUUUGAUGUUUGUGUUUGGUUUGCUUUAAUGUUGAUACUAGAAAUUGAUGAAAAUGCAAUAUGAUAUUUUGUUUGUUGAGAGAGAUUCUAAGAAUUGUAUGGAAACUGAUUGUUCCUUGGGACUGAAGACUUUGAUCAAAACUGUUCGUCUACUUUUGAGUUAGCAAAUUAUACCUUAUGCACAUGUCAACAGCUUGCCCUGGGGGUACACCCCCGGGACUUUGAAAAAACAUGAUUCUAAUGCAUUAAUUCCCCCUCCCUCCCCCAGGAAAUGUGUAAGUCAAACUGCCCUCCCCCUUGGGCUUAGAAUAAAGUAGUUCAUAAUAUAAAUAGCAUACAAACAAUUAAAAAUUAUCAUACAAACUGGGGUAUCACAAUGGCACUCGUGUAUUGUGUAUUUAUUGAUUCAAAUUUUAGCAAGAUCACUACAAAAUAUCAUGAAUAAUAAGUUGGCGAUCGAUAUUUUUCUCUGUGAGCCUGGGAUGGUGCACUUCACUUAUAAAAUUCAAAUUGUCAUGUCAAAGUCCCCUACUUCCCCUCCCCCUGUCAUCCUAUUAUUGCGAAGUUUGUUGGGGAAGAAUACACGGAUAAAAUACCAAAUUCCACCUCGUUUCCCCCGGAGUGUACCCCCCCGGGCAGGCCGUUGAUAUGUGCAUUAUCACGUAAAAUUUUUUCCUGUUUUUUUUAUUAUGCAAAACAAUAAGCUGUUUUCCAACUGAAAAAUUUCUUUUUGGUUUGACCAGUUUAUAGAAGGAUAUAAAUCAGAAAAUCUUUUAUGAACAUUUGAAAGUUUGGUUCAACAAUAUUUUGUGUGCUUCUGUAAAUGGUUGCUACAUGUUUUGCAUCAAAAAUAUUUCAUAAUAAAAUCAAAAAGUUGUUGUUUUAAAAUAUACAAAUAAUUAUAUAACAGGACAACUUUUCCCCACGUGAAAUCUAGGAGAUGUUUGUUUAUAAAAUGGUGGAUCAAUGUGUAUCAUUUUACUGAAUUUAUCAAGGACGAGAAAUGUACCAUUUUCUUAAUUGAGCAAAGCAAAUUUAAUUCAAAUUUUUGUUCGAAAAAUCAAUCAGUAUUGGAGAAAUAAUAACAUUCUUUUAAAAUUUUAUUGAACUGCAUUUUCAUCAGUUGAAUUAGUAUUAACAUUAUAUAUAAUCAAUUCAAAGUUGUCAGGUUAAAAAACGACGCUCAAAAAUAUGUGGCUCCGAAAGACAGAGAUGAUUUCAAAUUUAAGUAUUUCUCGAUUUGGCAAUUGAAAAAAUGUUCUUAUAUAUGUUCAGUUGAGUAUUACAAAGAAUUGAAUUCUCUUAGCAUCUAGACAUCGCGAUAAAAUCAUUAUUUCCAUACUCAAGUGAAACUUUUUGUUCACUUUACCAAAAACACUUAGUCCGUAUCCAAAAAAAGUAAAAGCAAGUUCGAUUUACUUUGUCUUUGAGCCAUAUAUAUUUUUGUGAUUGUGAAACAACUCGAUUUUACGCUUUAGAUUUCUUCGUCAAACUCGUAAAAUUUAUCAUCAGAGUUGUUUUGUAAUUAUUUAUCUUGAAGUAUAAACUUUCAUCUUGAAACGACCAAGUUCACAUGUUUAAUGUUGUGUUUUCACUUGUGUAAACACAAUGUUAAUUGUUCUCUUUGUGUCAUGUUCUGUUUUCUUCUAUUGUUAUUUAAAUAAGUAUACAGUAUGCAGUGGUUGUUCUCUUUUUAUUGUUAUUCAAAUUGUAAAAUUACAAGUUCUUUUCAAUAAAUUGUUCAUUAAUUAUACAAGAGACUCCUUUUUAAUUCAAAAUUCAAUUCCCAUGGGAAUUGAAAAAAAAAAUAAAAAAAAUCCCUCUACCCCGGCCGGCUCCCCAAGUGCUACCUCUACUUCAAGCAGAAGCAAAAGUGCUUCUGCUUAAAGUAGAGGUAGCACUCGGAGAGCCAGCCGGGGUAGCGGGGCGAAGAGAAGACCAACCUUGCAAAUGCUAAUGCAAAUUGCUAAGUUGAUCUUCUCUUGAGAGCAGCCACGCGCAUACCUAGCGAAUGUAAAACAACAAACAUUAGUAACAAAUACUCGACAUGCAAAUUUUGAAUCCCAUGGCCGAAAUGACAAGUGCCCCCCACUGAUUCCUACCAACUGCCUCAAUCCUAAGCUGUCUGCCUCGGUCCUAAGCUGUCUGCCUCGUUCCUAAGCUACCUGCAUUCCAUUCGUAACUUCCGCUUUCCUCACCAUCACACAGACACUCACAAUUGCCCAACCUGCCACCACCCGAACUGCCCACCCUUAAAACUGAAGGAAUUAAAAUUUUGGUAAAGUAUAUUGCAUAAUUAAUUUAAUUAUUCGAAUAUUUUAGGCCAAACGCAAACAAAUAAAUUAAAGGUUGACGAUUAAGAAUGACCGCGUAUACAAACAGGUGAGUUUCUUAGUUGCCUCUAACAUGAAAUUUACAUAGAAAAGUAUACGAAACCUCGAAAUCCGGAUUUUCCUUCUAUAUAUACUUUACUAUUGUUUUGGUUUAAAUAACGAAACUCGACUAAUUUUGCUGAUGUUAGGAAAUUGGUUAUUUUGUUCGAGGAAGAUAUAUUUUCUCUUUAUAUGUUCUCUCAAAAUUUUAAUUCCUUUAGUUUAGCUUAACCCCAUGCAUCUUAUACACACGGCGCACACUCUCACAGUCCAUACAUUUAGCUAAUAAAUUACGUUAUAAACAAAAAAGCAAAAUAAAAAGAUAAAUUACGUUAUCACUAGCUAUCCUAUAACCCACUUAGACUGAGUUUUGGAUUCUGGUUCGAAACGUUCAAUCUUAACUGAAAGGGUAUAGGCUUGAGUUUUGUUAACUGGUCCGAAGUAAAUACAAACCUUAAACUUACCUAAACCAAAGGCUCGAUUAAAUAAGCAUGAGAAUGUAUAGAAUUACUUUUUAAAACUUCAUCAGAGUUGAAAAUCCAAAGGAAAAUCACAAUGACGCUAAUUUAGUGAGCAUGCAGUACUGUUUAUCUAUAUAGUUCAAACAGAUCGAAACAGACUUAACCGCAAUUCUCAUACUCAUUUAACCGGAACGCCUUGAUGAUCAUUUGCAUGGCACGUCGCAGCUGCUUUCAAACCCGCAAGUGACAAGAUACUUAUCAUACUUAAUCAAAGAGGAUUCAUUAUAAAGUCAAAUUUACACUAUGAAAUCACCAUGAAAACAAAGCAUAGUAUAUUCCCCUGGGAAUUACAAAUACGGAAAAAAAUAAAAUUGCAUAAUACUUCACGCUUGCGCAAAAUAAAAAAAUUAACAUAAAAACCAAAGUAUAGUGUAUUCCUAUGGGAAUUAAACAAAGAAAAAUAAACCCACCAAUUCUUAAUAACUUUUUAACGCUCGAAAUAGGAUUGUUUGUUUUCAUCGUAUGUUGAUUUCAUUGUGAAUACAAGACUUAUCCCAUAGUUAACAGAAUAUAAACAUGGAAGGGACCGCACCUGACAUUAAUUUUAUUAUCAACACCAAAUGACGAUGAAAAAGAGGAAAUGCUUGGUGCUAGACUGCACGCCAUGUUUAUUUUACAUUAACUAUGGGUGACGCGGAUUAAUAUUUUGUUUUCAGAAAAGUCUACAAUCGAAAAUAUUCCAGGCAAGAUUUCGUGCUUUUAAGGUAUUGUUGCUUCGAUCUUUUUU